GACGGAGGGGGCUAGCGUUGUUCGGAAUGACUGGGCGUAAAGGGCGCGUAGGCGGCUUGGUCAGUCGGGUGUGAAAGCCCGGGGCUCAACCCCGGAACGGCAUCCGAUACGGCCAGGCUGGAGACCGGGAGAGGAGGGUGGAAUACCCCGUGUAGAGGUGAAAUUCGUAGAUAUUGGGUGGAACACCGGUGGCGAAAGCGGCUCUCUGGCCCGGAUCUGACGCUGAGGCGCGAAAGCGUGGGGAGCAAACAGG
This 253-nucleotide ribosomal RNA is filed under the name uncultured bacterium. RNAcentral's name for it is "partial 16S ribosomal RNA". It matches the Rfam family "Bacterial small subunit ribosomal RNA", at positions 524 to 776 of the family's 1533-position model. The record is from RNAcentral.